GAUGAACGCUGGCGGCGUGCCUAAUACAUGCAAGUAGAACGCUGAAGGAAGGAGCUUGCUCUUUCCGGAUGAGUUGCGAACGUGUGAGUAACGCGUAGGUAACCUGCCUGGUAGCGGGGGAUAACUAUUGGAAACGAUAGCUAAUACCGCAUAACAGUAGAUGUUGCAUGAUAUCUACUUAAAAGGUGCAAUUGCACCACUACCAGAUGGACCUGCGUUGUACUAGCUAGUUGGUGAGGUAACGGCUCACCAAGGCGACGAUACAUAGCCGACCUGAGAGGGUGAUCGGCCACACUGGGACUGAGACACGGCCCAGACUCCUACGGGAGGCAGCAGUAGGGAAUCUUCGGCAAUGGACGGAAGUCUGACCGAGCAACGCCGCGUGAGUGAAGAAGGGUGUCGGAUCGUAAAGCUCUGUUGUAAGAGAAGAACGAGUGUGAGAGUGGAAAGUUCACACUGUGACGGUAUCUUACCAGAAAGGGACGGCUAACUACGUG
Molecule: ribosomal RNA, 497 nt
Filed under: uncultured bacterium
Lineage: Bacteria
Description: partial 16S ribosomal RNA
Rfam family: Bacterial small subunit ribosomal RNA
Source: RNAcentral